RNAcentral lists this long non-coding RNA (2222 nucleotides) under Lathyrus oleraceus (garden pea). RNAcentral's name for it is "Pisum sativum (pea) long non-coding RNA (PSAT_LNC004425)". The record is from RNAcentral. Lineage: Eukaryota; Viridiplantae; Streptophyta; Magnoliopsida; Fabales; Fabaceae.
UCAUGAACUUUUUAAAUUAAUUCGGAUUACACAAAAGAGAGCAUAGGGAGAAGCACAACAUUAAAUCAUGAAGAAAACAUUUGUAUCAGUAUUGACAAACAUACACCCUAUGUCUUUAAACACCUGAACUUCUAGAUUAAAAUAUUUUUCUGAUUUACAGAGGAUAACACCCUAAAUCUGCCAGAGUUAGGCUCCUAUAUGAUGUUAAAGCCUCCUACUCAACUAAAUUCACAAUAUUCAUAAUACCCUCUCUCUGAGUAACUCUACUCCAUAUAUUCAGGAAACGGUUAACCGUCCAACUUCUCACUGCAAUGUCACUGUGCUUCCCUCGUGAUAUUAGGAGUUCCCAUCUCACCCUUUCUAGAAUAAACUGGCCAAAAUUUAGGCCCACUAUUCCCUUGAUGGAUCAGUUGUUCACUUGAAAACCCCUCGACUCAUCGGCUUAUCAAUACUCCCUCCUGAAUCUUGAGCCUUGUCCUUAAGGCUAAAUUGCAGAAAUUGACUUUUAAUGGUUAAUAUAUCCUCCCAAGUGGCCUUUUAAGCUAAUUUCCCCUUCCAAUGGAUUAAAAAACUUGCAUAAUUUUUUCCAUAGGGAAGAAAGGGAAGAAUUAUAACGCACUUCUGUUACAAUGUGGUCUCUGCUAAUUUUAGCAGUUAGAUCACAUGAUCACACACUUCAGUUCCUUUCAGAUCUUCAUCUAGAAUAAAAUCAAAUCUAGCACCUAAAAGUAAUAAACUACAUCUCUUCAAUAUAGCAGGAAAAUAAGAUCAAACUUCGCAUAAAGCAUGGGACAAAAGGGUCAUACUCAUAGCAUAUACAAAAAUAUAGAAGUCUUGAAAAAUUAAAAGUACCAAUCGAAUGGCUCGAAGAACUCGUAAUGGAUCAUCAAGAAAGGUAGCCUUUGGAGGUUAGGGGAUCAUUACAUUUCCAGACUUAAGGUCUGAGAUUCCUGCAGAGUACCAAGGAAGUUAUUAGAUGAACAAACAAGUAGCGCUUAAAAUAAUUGUUUAGGUGAUAAAAUCCACUCUGACCUCUCUAGGAUUUAUCAAAAGAAUAACUUUAUUUCAUUCACAUUCUUCAUUGAUAAGAAUCAUAACUUAACUGUAAGAAAAGUUUUAACACCCAAGCAUAGUGAGUAUACUAGUAUUAACCAUCAAAAUCUUCAGUCUGCUAGUUCAUUAAGCAUGGGCUGUUACAAAAUUGAAUAAACUCGUCUCUAACAUACAAUCCAGUCAAACUCAACAAUACUCAUCAAAUUCAAAUUUUGAAGAUUAAUCUUAACAAUUUUCAAUAAGCUGCCUACUUAAAAAAAUCAACAAUAAUCUUAAUAAUUUUCAAUAAUCAGCCAUUUAAAAAAACAAACUAAAUCAAUUACAGAGUGCUGCAAUGUGUCAUCUUUGAAUGCAAUGUCAGAGAGAACGGACUUGUGCGAUGAGUUAUGGGACUUCUUUAUUGAAAUUGAUUUAGGGUUUGGAGAGAGAAUAUCUAAGCGCAUACUUGAGGUUCAAUGCAAAUAUUGCCAUAGAGCUACACCUUCUACAAUGGCUUAAUGAACAAUACUAGAUAGAAAUAGAAACCAUGUAAGUUUGCAAAUAGAAAGAGAGUAAACUUUCAAAACAAAAAAUUUGACAAAUUAACAUAUCAACCAAAUGGCUUCUUAAUUUGUCAUAUACUUAAUAAUAACUAUGACAUGUGUAGUUGUCAUUGUCAAGCCACUUUGCAUAUAUACCGGAAAUCCUAAUGACCAUAGUCAUAUGGCUCUAUAGGAAGAUAACAAGAAGACAACUAACUAUUAAUUCCUCCAAUUGGAAUAAGGUUUUCUUUGUAAAUUCCCAUCUGCCAACCAUAUAUCGAUCCUUUGACACCAACCUCUUUAGUUAUCUGAGUGCUUAAAUUAAACCAGACUAGUUCAUCAUUUUUUUGUUUGAAGCAAAUGUCACCCUUCUUCCCUACUCCAAUGGGACAUUCAAUGGAAGGUAUGGGCCCAAUAACAAAGAGUUUGACCCAUGAUUCCUUCACACCGAGUUCCCCCAAAAUCGAAAUGUGAAAAGUAGUAGCCUUAUAACAAUUUGAAAUAAAAGCAAUAGACCCAUUUAACACCACUAAGUGUCUCUCUAUAAAUAUCAAAUCACAUUUUUCAUUCAUGUCUAGUAAAGGUGUUGUAAAAAACACCCCAUUGAUCAAGUCAAAUGAUACCAAACAGCCUUCAACAUCAUAUAAA